RNAcentral lists this transfer RNA (70 nucleotides) under Stegodyphus mimosarum. It matches the Rfam family "tRNA". Rfam says of the family: Transfer RNA (tRNA) molecules are approximately 80 nucleotides in length. Their secondary structure includes four short double-helical elements and three loops (D, anti-codon, and T loops). The record is from Rfam by way of RNAcentral. Lineage: Eukaryota; Metazoa; Arthropoda; Arachnida; Araneae; Eresidae.
GCCUUCGUGGUUAACGGUAGCACACUCGGCGCGUAUUCUAUAGGCCCAGGUUCGAGUCCUGGCGAGGGCA